ACACAAAAAGGCAGUCAAAACAGGCAGAGGUAUUCAGGACGCGAGGCAAAAGACAAGGUCAAAAACGAGCAGGGAUCAAACACUAAGAGGCAAAGACUAUGGCUGUGAAUAAUGCUGGAACGUGAAGCUAUGAACAACAAGACAAGCCACAAGAGGGUAUAUAUACACAAGACUAAUGGGGAGUGAUAAGAGACAGGUGCAGGAAACACAAUCAGGGAUCAGGUGCACACAGACGAGGAGGAGGCGGGACAGACAGGAACCUGGAACAGAGACAGAGAUCGCAGUCCUGUCGGCGAAAACGAGGAGAACAAGGCAGAAUUUGUGCACACGUGUAACAUGAGCACAGCUGUUGAUCAUUACUGGGGGUCUCUGGGGUUUCAUAGCCUGCCAUGCAGUUACAUCAGGAGAACAUUCCUCUGGUUUUCAAGCCAAGCAGCAUCUCACAAACGCUGCACCAUUGCACACAUGUAAUCCCUCCCCUCGCUGACUUUGGAGUACAAAAAAGUCCCCUGACCUUUGACCUUCCAGAACAAGUUCAUGGAUCGGUGCCUGGUUAUCCUCACUGCUUUGGUUCAAUCCCUUUCGUAUGUUGGCCCUCACCCAUGUGGCCCCUGUGGUGAUUGUGCUGCGUCUCCUCCUCCUGACAGCAACAGUC
This is a long non-coding RNA of Scatophagus argus, 655 nucleotides long. RefSeq lists it as uncharacterized. NCBI's taxonomy places the organism in Eukaryota, Metazoa, Chordata, Actinopteri, Scatophagidae. The record is from RefSeq and is a predicted model, not a curated record. The transcript is spliced from 4 exons.